Magallana angulata is the source of this 783-nucleotide long non-coding RNA. RefSeq lists it as uncharacterized. The record is from RefSeq and is a predicted model, not a curated record. The transcript has 5 exons. NCBI's taxonomy places the organism in Eukaryota, Metazoa, Mollusca, Bivalvia, Ostreida, Ostreidae.
UAAAAUGAAAAUACACUUGUAAACGCUAAAAUAUUUUAUGCGACAACUCUAAAUAGAAACUUAUCUCUAUGUAUUUGUCGGCUACGAUCCUUGGUAAAUUUUCACGAUAUGUCAAAAUAUAUAAGUAGUACGAGAAGCAAGUUCAAUAUAAAUAUAAUACUUUAUAACUCCGUGCAAUCAACGCUUAAUGGAGCGGUGCUCCCUUUUAAUGUGGACCCAUAAACUGAACAAGUGGCAAACAAAAUCGACAUAAGAUUUUAUUGCAUGAAGAUAUUGAUGGCACACUUGCUGUUGGGAAACUCUACGUACGGCUCGAUUUGAAAUAUGAAUACUUCAGUUAUGAUACAACGUCUUUAGGCAUGGUGUAAACUUUAAAGCAAAAAGCGCCUCUUGUUGAACACCUGAAGAAGAAGUCCCCGAUCAUGCUAUUCCCAGUCAAUCCAGACACAGAAUUAAAAGCUAAAGUGACAGCACGUCUUCAAAAAACGGGAACCGUUGAUCUUUCUGUAGUUCUCAGAAGUGUUCGCAACUGCUAAGAAGUUCACAAAGAAAUGGAUGUAUUAACAAAUUGACUUGAUAUGUGUUGUAAGACGACGAUCCUCUCAAGUGGGAAAAGCUGCAAGCCCGAGAAGAAAAGCGGAUUGAGAGAUAUGAGAAGUUAUAGUUGUGCACGAGGUUGACCUUGAGAGUGAAGAUGAUUAUGACCGAGAGUGAAUUGAAGAAGAACAAUUUUUAAAUUAAAAUUUACGACGGAAAAAUAAAAUUCAUACAUUUAAGAUGACA